UGCCUUUGUGUUGCUCUUUCAUUUGUCUGUAUUGAAAGGGGUGUCAAAAAAGGCAUACAUUGACUCUUGUGGUUGACUGAGAAAUGGGUGAUCUCUAAGCCUUUCUGAAAGAUGAACUGCAAGGACAUGC
This is a small nucleolar RNA of Gadus morhua (Atlantic cod), 130 nucleotides long. Ensembl annotates it as small nucleolar RNA SNORA13. NCBI's taxonomy places the organism in Eukaryota, Metazoa, Chordata, Actinopteri, Gadiformes, Gadidae. The record is from Ensembl.